AUCGCUUCUCAGCCUUUUGGCUAAGAUCAAGUGUAUUAUCUGACUGUCUUCAGGGCUUUGCUCUCAGGGUAGGUUAAUGCACAGGAAGUAUUCACAAAUGUGGAGCUUACCCACUUGAGUAAGCCCCACACACGCUUGAACACUAAUCAUCUGAAAAGGUUUUAGGAUGUAAAAGUU
Heterocephalus glaber (naked mole-rat) is the source of this 177-nucleotide small nuclear RNA. Its record names the gene U2. It matches the Rfam family "U2 spliceosomal RNA". Rfam says of the family: U2 is a small nuclear RNA (snRNA) component of the spliceosome (involved in pre-mRNA splicing). Lineage: Eukaryota; Metazoa; Chordata; Mammalia; Rodentia; Bathyergidae. The record is from Ensembl.